Molecule: long non-coding RNA, 2288 nt
Organism: Xiphophorus maculatus (southern platyfish)
Lineage: Eukaryota; Metazoa; Chordata; Actinopteri; Cyprinodontiformes; Poeciliidae
Exons: 4
Source: RefSeq, a predicted model, not a curated record
AUUUCAUUUCUCCGUCAACUCAUGUACCUCAACUUGAGUUGACCAACAAUUAAACAAGACGACCUGCUCCACCUGCUGAUCUACUGGUUGUAACAGAUUGUGGAAAAGCAUCACCAGCAGCACUGGACCAAUCAGGAGAGAGAAGACACAGAGGACUGAAGGGACUCAGAAAAUCCUGCUGGAAAUCCCAAGAUGAAGUUUCCUGAUGCAACAGGGGGACACCUGAGGACACAGAAUAAAGAAGGACCAUGUGAAGCAGGUCCUUCAAUAACAAACCAAGCAUGAGUUGACCAACACUUACAGCAGGUUACUUUGUCCAUCUACUGAUCUACUGGUUGUAACAGAUGAUGGUGAAGGUUGAGGAGAUAAUGACUUGAUCAGAAACUGUGGCCGACAACUGCAAACGCGCAGCAAACAGCAAAACGAGCUGCAAACAGACUCAUGAAGAGGACGGUCAGAGUCGUCCAUAGCUUUCUUGACUCUUCUGAAGAAUCUUUCUUUGCGUCAUCUCCAGAGGUUCCACAGUCAUCUCCAGAACAGAACCAGAACCAAUCCAGCCUUCUUUAUCAGAUUGUUGAGCCUUUUGAGGUUCCUGGCUCUGAUGCUGCUGCACCAACAGAUGAUAGCAGAAGAGAUGACACUCUCAGCAGCAGACUUAAAGAUCUGCAGCAACUUGCUGCAAACCUUGAAGGAUCUUAGCUUCCUGGAGAAGUGCAGUCUGCUCUGUCUCUUUUUGUAGACGGCUUGUCCAUGUGGUUCCUGCCUUCUGUUGCGUCUCCAGUCCAGUCUGUGUUCCAGAUGAACACCGAGUCAAGAUUAGAUGAUUGUUCCCUCACCAGGCCACAAAGUGAUCCACCAGAUAUCUGUACUCAGCCUCUUGUCUUCCUCUGAUACACAACAACUGCAGAGUCGUCUGAGUAUUUCUGUAGAUGACAGAAGUCGGACUUGUGCUGGAAGUCUGAACAGUAGAGGGUGAAAAUGAACGGUGAGAGUACAGUGCCCUGUGGUGUUCCCAUGUUGUUGACCACCUGGUUAGACACACAGUCCUUCAGUCUCACUAACUGUGGUCUGUUUGUCAGGUAGUCACAGAUGCAGGUGAUUGUUGAGGCCUCCACCUGUGUCUUCUGGAGUUUCUAACAGAGCAGAUCAGGCUGAUUUGUGUUCAAUGCACCUGGGAACCAAAGACCCUGAUCCUCACUGUGCUGCCUGCUUUGUCCAGAUGACAGUGGGUUUGUUGAAGCAGGUGUCUGAUCAACUCCAACUCCAUGACGAUAAGCAAACUGCAGGGGGUCCUGAUAUGUGAUCGUCUGCUUACUCAAGUGGGCCACCAGGAGUCUCUCCAGGACCUUCAGGAUGUGGGACGUCAGGGCAACAGGUCUACAGUCAUUAUGACUGAUGGGUGACUUUUCUUCGGUACCGGAACCAGACAGGAUGUCUUCCACAACAACGGAACCUCCUCUUGGGUCAGGCAAAGGUUGAAGAGAUGCUGCAGAAUCCCACAGAGGGAAUCUGGGACUGACAGCAUCUGGACCUGCAGCCUCGUUCCUGUUCAGUCUCUCCGGCUGCUUCUUCACCUGACUUCUAGAUACAGAAAAGUUGGAGGUGGAGGCAAAGGGAGCAGCAGCGUCUCCUGAUGUGGUUAAAGACAAACUUGUGGAAGCAAAAGAGUCCAUGACUGAGGUGGAAGAUGGAACAUCUGAGGUUUGACAGGAAAGCUGUGGGUCAGAGGAGGAUGAGAAAUCUGUCUGGCUGCAGACAGGAGAGGAAGAUGAUGAGCUUGUUCCUGGACUGAACCUGUUGAAGAAUGUGUUCAGCUCAUUUCCUCUGUCCAGAAACUAAUAUUGUUAAAAAAAAGUCAUGGUAGCAUGUUUUUAUGUAAUAAUGUGUAUGUAAUGUGUGGAAUGAAGAAGAUAUGCUGCAUAAUCUGAUGGAAUUACAAAAGAUCAUUGUGGCUCCUGCUCAGUGCAAAAACACACAUUUUGUUGGUUUCUGAAGAGUAAAAAUUGAACAAAUGUGUACAUUUAAAGAUUAAAUUUAUAUUUCACAGUCAUCACAAUGCUAAAGAAAAGUCUCACAACAGGGUGAAAAUUAUGGUGUUUAUUUACAAGACAGGAAGCAGGAGGAAGAUAUUAAAGAAUGUCAAAUAUUUUGCAGCGUCAGGUUAUUUCUAUGUAUUAUGAUGUAAUAUAAUAGAUGUAUUUUCAGCUUAUUGUGUUCUGUUUUAUUUUGUGUGUAACUUUCACUUGAUUUGUGAAAGCAUGAGGAAGAUAUUAAAUUUUUUGUAUAUA